This 62-nucleotide transfer RNA is filed under the name Aphis gossypii (cotton aphid). Its description in RNAcentral is "tRNA-Glu". The record is from RNAcentral. Lineage: Eukaryota; Metazoa; Arthropoda; Insecta; Hemiptera; Aphididae.
UAUUUAUUAGUUUAAAAUAAAACAUUAUAUUUUCAAUAUAAAAAUAAUUUUAUUAUAAAUAA